CAGAACAUAGCUUAAAAUAAAGCACUUCGCUUACAUCGUAAUAAUGUUUGUUUAAACCAAACUGUUCUGAG
This 71-nucleotide transfer RNA is filed under the name Pristimantis bromeliaceus (bromeliad robber frog). RNAcentral's name for it is "tRNA-Val". It matches the Rfam family "tRNA". From Rfam's summary of the family: Transfer RNA (tRNA) molecules are approximately 80 nucleotides in length. Their secondary structure includes four short double-helical elements and three loops (D, anti-codon, and T loops). Further hydrogen bonds mediate the characteristic L-shaped molecular structure. tRNAs have two regions of fundamental functional importance: the anti-codon, which is responsible for specific mRNA codon recognition, and the 3' end, to which the tRNAs corresponding amino acid is attached (by aminoacyl-tRNA synthetases). tRNAs cope with the degeneracy of the genetic code in two manners: having more than one tRNA (with a specific anti-codon) for a particular amino acid; and 'wobble' base-pairing, i.e. permitting non-standard base-pairing at the 3rd anti-codon position. Lineage: Eukaryota; Metazoa; Chordata; Amphibia; Anura; Strabomantidae. The record is from RNAcentral. RNAcentral also lists the same sequence under 1 other name.